GUCAGAGAAGAGUAUUGGUAACUCAUCAGGCUCAUGUCCUGAAGAUUGUAGGUUCGAAUCCUGCCUCUGACA
This 72-nucleotide transfer RNA is filed under the name Trieres regia. RNAcentral describes it as "Odontella regia tRNA-Met". It matches the Rfam family "tRNA". From Rfam's summary of the family: Transfer RNA (tRNA) molecules are approximately 80 nucleotides in length. Their secondary structure includes four short double-helical elements and three loops (D, anti-codon, and T loops). Lineage: Eukaryota; Bacillariophyta; Thalassiosirophyceae; Eupodiscales; Parodontellaceae. The record is from RNAcentral.